GCCUGGUGUCCUCCUUCAUCCCAGGCUGCCAGGCUAGGCAGGGGGCAGCGGCUGCCCUGGUCCUCACAGCCCUGGCUGCGGGGCUGGUGACAGCCAGAUCCUCAUGCUUCUGUGACCAGAGCGCUGCCUUCAGACACCUCUCUGCUGGCGUGUUCCUGGGUCCAUGAUGGAAGAAGGAAAAGUAUUUUUAAAAGACAAUCUAAAGCUCACACUGUGACUGCAACAUAAAAUGUGUUCACCUGAGGAGACUGCUUUCACCGUGAGUGUGUCACAGGGCAGCUGAUCCAGGACCGUCCACUUCCAAGCCAGCAGGAGGAUGGAAAAACAGAAUGGAGGGGAAACAACCUCCUUUGCAGGGCGUGACUCGGAAGUUGGACACAUCAUUUCCAGCCACAUUCCAUGGACCAGAAUUAGCCCUGUGACCAACUCUGGCUGCCAGAAAGUCUGGGAAAUACAGUCUCUGCUUGGGCGAUCA
RNAcentral lists this long non-coding RNA (475 nucleotides) under Pan troglodytes (chimpanzee). Its description in RNAcentral is "lincRNA". The record is from RNAcentral. Lineage: Eukaryota; Metazoa; Chordata; Mammalia; Primates; Hominidae.